RNAcentral lists this ribosomal RNA (395 nucleotides) under uncultured bacterium. Its description in RNAcentral is "bacterial SSU rRNA". It matches the Rfam family "Bacterial small subunit ribosomal RNA", at positions 28 to 426 of the family's 1533-position model. The record is from RNAcentral.
GACGAACGCUGGCGGCGUGCUUAACACAUGCAAGUCGAGCGGUAAGGCCCUUUCGGGGGUACACGAGCGGCGAACGGGUGAGUAACACGUGGGUGACCUGCCUUUAGCUCUGGGAUAAGCCUGGGAAACCGGGUCUAAUACCGGAUAUGACUCCGCGGCGCAUGUUGUGGGGUGGAAAGCCUUGUGCGGCUGGAGAUGGGCCCGCGGCCUAUCAGCUUGUUGGUGGGGUGAUGGCCUACCAAGGCGACGACGGGUAGCCGGCCUGAGAGGGCGACCGGCCACACUGGGACUGAGACACGGCCCAGACUCCUACGGGAGGCAGCAGUGGGGAAUCUUGCGCAAUGGGCGAAAGCCUGACGCAGCGACGCCGCGUGAGGGAUGACGGCCUCGGUUGU